ACUACGGGAGGCAGCAGUGAGGAAUAUUGGUCAAUGGACGAGAGUCUGAACCAGCCAAGUAGCGUGAAGGAUGACUGCCCUAUGGGUUGUAAACUUCUUUUAUAAAGGAAUAAAACGAGGCACGUGUGCCUUUUUGCAUGUACUUUAUGAAUAAGGAUCGGCUAACUCCGUGCCAGCAGCCGAGGUAAUACGGAGGAUCCGAGCGUUAUCAGGAUUUAUUGGGUUUAAAGGGAGCGUAAAUGGGUUGUUAAGUCAGUUGUGAAAGUUUGCGGCUCAACCGUAAAAUUGCAAUUGAUACUGGCAAUCUUGAGUACAGUUGAGGUAGGCGGAAUGCGUGGUGUAGCGGUGAAAUGCUUAGAUAUCACGAAGAACCCCGAUUGCGAAGGCAGCUUACUAAACUGUGACUGACAUUGAUGCUCGAAAGUGUGGGUAUCAAACAGGAUUAGAUACCCUGGUAGUC
RNAcentral lists this ribosomal RNA (460 nucleotides) under uncultured bacterium. RNAcentral describes it as "partial 16S ribosomal RNA". It matches the Rfam family "Bacterial small subunit ribosomal RNA", at positions 338 to 795 of the family's 1533-position model. The record is from RNAcentral.